AUGCCACCCUUGGAGGAGUAGACCCGGGGACUCUGAAUACAUCUUGGGAAUGCUUAUAUCUUAGAAAUUUGGAUUUAGGACGAAUAUACAUAUUGUUUUAGAAACUAAGUGUCACAUGGGGCCAAACAUGGUGGCUCACUCCUGUAAUCCCAGCACUUUGGGAGGCCAAGGCGGGUGGAUCACUUGAGGUCAGGAGUUCAAGACUAGCCUGACCAACAUGGUGAAACGCUGUCUCUACUAAAAAUACAAACAUUAGCCUGGUGUGGUGGUGGGCACCUGUAAUCCCGGCUACUUGGGAGGCUGAGGCAGGAGAAUCGCUUGAAACAAGGAGGUAGAGGUUACAGUGAGCCAAGAUCGCACCACUGUACUCCAGCCUGGGUGACAGAACAAGACUCUUUCUCAAAAAAAAAAAAGAAACUAAGUGUCACAUGGAUUAAACAACUUUUUCACACUCAAGGAAAUGCACAAACAACUUCUUUGCAAUGUCUUCCUUUGGCAAAAUUUGGGCUUUUGCUAAUUUCUGUGGACUUAAAAAAAACUCAUAAUUCCAUUGCCCUUCAACUCUUAGGUAAAUACUGUGAGUUCUGGUCAUGUGCAUCUUCAGGAGUAAAGCUAGUCUGGUGGUGGUUUUUAUGGGAUGGGUGGGAAGAGGAGUUGGGGAGUGUCUCAUGUCAACACCAGAGAGAGCUGUUUCUCUGGAGCUAUAAUUGGAGCCAUAGCAAAUGAGAUUGGAGCAGGGUCAUGGAGCUUCUCUAACCUGUGGAACCCAUUUAAAGAAUUUGAAGACGAUCGCCUACACCCAGCUGGGUUUAGCGCCAUCCCAGCAGGUUUAAGCCAGGCCUCUAGACCAUCUUCCUAGAGCUCCCUGCCUGUCCUUGUUGCCCACAACCAUGUAAUGUGGGCAUAGGAGGCUCUAGGCAGGAGCUGGGCUGGAGCCAGGUGGUGUCAAAUUUCUCCAGUGGCUGAGUCGGGAGGUUUCUCUGGGGCCAUUGGGAAUUAGGCUGCUUUGUCUUCCUGCUGGGUCAAAUUUAUUUUCCAAAACUAAAAUUUUGUUAAGCCAAUAAAUGACUUCUGGUCAACACAAUGUUCCAAGGCUCUGUGCCAGUUGACCCCUACUACCUCCUCCCCCCAGCCCCAGGGAGAGGAGAAAAGGGAGUGGACUAAAGUAGAGAGGGAAGAGAGGCUGGGCUGUGUGCACAGAGGGCACCCACUGCAGGCCAGGCUGGGUUAGGAGGAAGAACAGGAACAUACCAAACUCUACCCUCUAGCAGAACUCUAGGGAACCCAGCUCGCCCUGUCCAGGCCAGGGACCUAAGAAGGUUCUACAACAUAAUUGUCACUCUCGCUCUGCUGUACCUGGCCUUUCUCAUCUUAACUCACCUCAGCUUCUCACCCUCACCACCCUCUUCCAUCUGAAGUGUAAUUUGCCCAGAAAUGAAAAGAGAGUGUGUCUAGCAGAGUUUCCCAUCUUUGGAAUGUCCUUGCCAUGGAAACUUCUUGUUGCCAGUUUCUAGUCAAUGACCAGGGCAGCUGGGUGGAGCUGUCUUUCUGAGGGCAGAGGCUGGGGGCAUAUGCUUCCCACCAUUUGGCUCCCUGGGGAAGCGAAGCUUCUCUGGACUUUUCAAUGCCUGCCUGCGGCUCCUGCCACCACAGGCAAGUUCGUGGGCUUCACAGCCGCACUUCAGUCUAUCACUGCAAGGCUGUUUCCUUAACAGGAAAAAAAAAUCAACCCGUUCCCUUGCAUAAACCAGGCUCCCACUCUCAUUGAGACUACCACUUGGAGAGUGCUUUUCCCUUUUUUUUCUGGGAGUGCGCCAUGGCUGGGUGAAAAUUACAUCUCUUGGCAGCUGCUCUAACAGCUGGGAGGGGAGCAGUGAGUACAGUGGAGAAAGGGCAGCUCUUGGCAGAAGUCGCCACCCUGGUAUCUGACCCAGAAGAGAAGUUUGGAAGAAAGAAAUCUCUGGUGUUAGCACUGACACCAUGGGCCAGCGAUCCAAGUGCCAUAGAGUGGAGCAGAUUUAGUCAGGGCCCGCCUCAGCUAAAUCCUCUGAGGCUCCAGGGUUGAUGACAGCCCAAAAAGAGCUUGAUGCCAGGCAGACACUGCCUCCUCUUGCCCCAUUCUCGCUCCCCACCUCAGAACCACACGGAGAGAAGGAGUAUGGCAUGUGGCCUAGAGCAGUGAGGCAGCUUGUCCUGUUGAGAGCUGUAGAGCCGGGCAGGCGGGCCUUAUAGACACUGAGUCCAUGCAGGGCUCGGGGGUGGGCAAGGACACAGUCCUCUUGCUGGAACACACUCCCUGUGUUCACACCAACAUCAUUCCAGCCCCUGUCAUGGAGCUGCCAAAUUGGAUUUCCUUGAAUAGUGCCGUCAGUGUUGUCCCAGCUCCAGCUGGGCCCAGUAGCUCCCCUGGCCACUUACUCUGUCUAGCUUGGUUGUGGGGGUUGAAGGGUUUGGAGUUGGGAGUUGGGAUAGAGAAUUUAGGAAUGGGAGCAAGAAUAUUAGCAGCAAAAAUCGGGAGGCCCCCCAUGGUGGCUCAUGCCUAUAAUCCCAACACUUUGGGAGGCCAAGGCAGGAAGAUUGCUCGAGGCCAACAGUUCGAGACCAGCCUGGACAAUAUAGCAAGAUGCUGUCUCUACAAAAAAUAAAAAUAUUAGUGGGGUGCAGUGGUACACGCCUGUAGUCCCAGCUACAUGGGAAGCUGAAGCAGGAGGAUCGCUGGAACCCAGGAGUUCGAGGCUGCAGUGACCACUGACUGGGACCUUCAGAAGGGCACUGGCUGCACUGAGGGCCACACAGGGACCUCAGCUGCAGCGCCUCUGGCAGCUGGCAUGAUAGCCUUAAUGCUGCAGGUGCGGCCCUGCCUCACAUGGCGUGACGUCCAGCACAUAAUUGUCUUCACAGCCACCCGGUACGAGGAUCGCCGUGCAGAGUGGGUCACCAACGAGGCAGG
This 2950-nucleotide small RNA is filed under the name Pongo abelii (Sumatran orangutan). RNAcentral describes it as "retained intron". Lineage: Eukaryota; Metazoa; Chordata; Mammalia; Primates; Hominidae. The record is from RNAcentral.